RNAcentral lists this ribosomal RNA (272 nucleotides) under Vibrio cholerae. Its description in RNAcentral is "partial 16S ribosomal RNA". It matches the Rfam family "Bacterial small subunit ribosomal RNA", at positions 1032 to 1305 of the family's 1533-position model. Lineage: Bacteria; Pseudomonadati; Pseudomonadota; Gammaproteobacteria; Vibrionales; Vibrionaceae. The record is from RNAcentral.
AGACAGGUGCUGCAUGGCUGUCGUCAGCUCGUGUCGUGAGAUGUUGGGUUAAGUCCCGCAACGAGCGCAACCCUUGUCAUUAGUUGCCAGCAUUAAGUUGGGCACUCUAAUGAGACUGCCGGUGACAAACCGGAGGAAGGUGGGGAUGACGUCAAGUCAUCAUGCCCCUUAUGACCUGGGCUACACACGUGCUACAAUGGACGGUACAACGAGAAGCGACCCUGUGAAGGCAAGCGGAUCUCUGAAAGCCGUUCUCAGUUCGGAUUGUAGGC